This 468-nucleotide ribosomal RNA is filed under the name uncultured bacterium. RNAcentral describes it as "partial 16S ribosomal RNA". It matches the Rfam family "Bacterial small subunit ribosomal RNA", at positions 28 to 507 of the family's 1533-position model. The record is from RNAcentral.
GACGAACGCUGGCGGCGUGCUUAACACAUGCAAGUCGAACGGAAAGGCCCUGCUUUUGUGGGGUGCUCGAGUGGCGAACGGGUGAGUAACACGUGAGUAACCUGCCCUUGACUUUGGGAUAACUUCAGGAAACUGGGGCUAAUAUCGGAUAGGAGCUCCUGCUGCAUGGUGGGGGUUGGAAAGUUUCGGCGGUUGGGGAUGGACUCGCGGCUUAUCAGCUUGUUGGUGGGGUAGUGGCUUACCAAGGCUUUGACGGGUAGCCGGCCUGAGAGGGUGGCCGGCCACAAUGGGACUGAGAUACGGCCCAGACGCCUACGGGCGGCAGCAGUGGGGAAUAUGGCGCAAUGGGCGGAAGCCUGAUGCAGCAACGCCGCGUGCGGGAUGACGGCCUUCGGGUUGUAAACCGCUUUCGCCUGUGACGAAGCGUGAGUGACGGUAAUGGGUAAAGAAGCACCGGCUAACUACGUG